RNAcentral lists this long non-coding RNA (1716 nucleotides) under Dasypus novemcinctus (nine-banded armadillo). RNAcentral describes it as "lncRNA (ENSDNOG00000051730.1)". Lineage: Eukaryota; Metazoa; Chordata; Mammalia; Cingulata; Dasypodidae. The record is from RNAcentral.
GGAAUUGUCAACAAAGGGACGAGGGACGCACAACUCGGCACCACAGCGCGCGCCGGCAUCUCGCGGGCCCCGAGGGCGCUCCGGCCAGACGGGGGUCGAGGAAGCUCGUGGGUCCGCAACAGCAUCAUCUGGGGUUGCCAAAGGUCAGAAAAUGACUAUUGAUUAACCUAUUAGGAUACCUGUAGUUGCCGAGAGAAAUAAAAAACGACGUAAAAUAACCAACUAUUUUAAAAAAAGAAGCCUUAAAGAAGCUUCUCGGAGUAGUUAAAUGACUUUAGCAGAUGAAAAAAAGUCGGAAAUGAGGCGCCCGAGAAGGAGCCGAGAUUGGCAGCGGCCGGGGUGGACACAAACCCUCCAAGAUUUAACUUCCGCGGACGAAGCGAGGAUGAGACCAAUACACACACAAAAUUCCUUGGUAAGGAAAGGCAGGGAGGGUAGGAGAGUCUGUGGGGAUUUAAGUGGGACCUCGGGGAGACUGCUAACCGACCCCGAGUUCGUGGCGUGGGCGGGGCGCGUGGACAUUUCAAGGCGGACGGUGCCGCUGCCCCGGUGAGAUGAGCCUUCUCUUCCUUCCUCCUUGUAGGCCGCCUCGUUGCGGGCGGCGAACGCCUGCCUGGCGGGAAUGGUUCCUGAGCCCAAGUCCAGUCCACUGAGGCCUGGAGAGGGAAGGCUGGCAUCACCAGAGCAUGGUGCACCAGGGGAGGAGGUCGAGAGGAACUAAAGAGUGAAAUAUUUUCAGAAGUCACCCAGAAAACUCAUUUAAUUUUAGGUGGACGGUGGUGCUUCUGGAGCUCUCUCCCUCUCCUACAACUUUCCCCCGGCCUAGACACAUACUCCCUCCAGAGGAAAAUCCGUAAACUUGCUUCAUUACAUGCGAUGCGACACACAGAUUGGCUUUAACCAUCAUGAGACCAUUGCCCCGGGUAUGAACACUAGUUCACUCGAUCCCGACUCCGCAGGCGUUCCUGGUUGGGCCAGGGGGUCUCCCUUCCGAGACUCCCGUGAACCUCCGCGAUUUUUCUGUAUCUAAAUGAACCCCCGCCCCCGCUUGCACCUGACCCUAAAACGCAUCUCUGAGUUGAUUUCCGCAGCUGUAUGGUUUUUGUGGCCGGCCGGCUCCGAGCCGUUUACAAUGCUGUCUGUGCAACUCCAGAAGAACCAGCGUGAGCGGUGAGUUGGGCGUCGGUUGCCCCCGGCUGCUGCAGGGGUCGUGGCUGCAACUGCCCGAGCCAAUGAACAAUUACAAAAAGAAGGUCGGAAGGGCAAGAAAAAGAAACCAAAAUUUAUAAAUUGAGAGGCCCCUUUGCCCAGCUUUGGGUUGCCCAAUCCCAGGGCAGACGCGGGCCGCACGCGGUACCAGCCCCACGGUAGCCUGGGCUGCUGGGCGGGCAUGGGCGCGCGGGUGUGCGCGCGCUGGCGUGUUGCGGCUGCGGAGGCUGCCCGCGCACAUCUUUUUGAAGUAACCCACAAAUGAGCCUAAUUUCGAUUCCGCCGCCCGCAGGAGAUGGCUCCUGGAACUUCUCGGCGCCGCUGGCUCAACCUCGCCCUCCCUCCGCCGAGGUCCGGCUCAUCUGUCCAUUCCCCGGUGUCUCCUUGGAAUCUCCCUAGGGGAAGGGGGAAAGCAGCGGGUGGUGGUGAACAACUCCCAGCCGCCGGUUCCAUUUGUUGCGCUUUUAUCCUUCGACACAAUAAAAGUCAAAUUAAUUGAUUCAUACC